GAUGAACGCUGGCGGCGUGCCUAAUACAUGCAAGUCGAGCGAACAGACGAGGAGCUUGCUCCUCUGACGUUAGCGGCGGACGGGUGAGUAACACGUGGAUAACCUACCUAUAAGACUGGGAUAACUUCGGGAAACCGGAGCUAAUACCGGAUAAUAUAUUGAACCGCAUGGUUCAAUAGUGAAAGACGGUUUUGCUGUCACUUAUAGAUGGAUCCGCGCCGCAUUAGCUAGUUGGUAAGGUAACGGCUUACCAAGGCGACGAUGCGUAGCCGACCUGAGAGGGUGAUCGGCCACACUAGAACUGAGACACGCUCCAGGCUCCUGCGGGAGGCAGCAGUAGGGAAUCUUCCGCAAUGGGCGAAAGCCUGACGGAGCAGCGCCGCGUGAGUGAUAAAGGUCUUCGGAGCGUAAAACUCUGUUAUUAGGGAAGAACAAAUGUGUAAGUAACUAUGCACGUCUUGACGGUACCUAAUCAGAAAGCCACGGCUAACUACGUG
Molecule: ribosomal RNA, 497 nt
Filed under: uncultured bacterium
Lineage: Bacteria
Description: partial 16S ribosomal RNA
Rfam family: Bacterial small subunit ribosomal RNA
Source: RNAcentral